GCAACAAUGUCUUUGGAUGACUCCUCCUCUGAAGAGGAAAACAUGGAGAGUUACUUCUUCGCUGCUCAAGAACUGCGAGUGCUGUGAUUAGUUCUUCUCAAGUGAAGCUGUACCACUGUGCUCCAGCUCCACACUCCCUCCUGCAGCCUCCGCUCCUGAUGCUAACCUCCUGUCUCCAUCACACCAAGCAGCAAACCUGGAGUGACAGAACCUUCUCCAUAGCUGCCCCCUCCCUCUGAAACCCCCUCUCCCAAACACUAUUUUUGUAUUUUUUUGCAUGAGAAUUGUUGAUCAUAUCAUUUCCAGCAACUGCCUUAAUGUAAUUUCUGUGCAUAAUAAAUGACAUUGAUCAUAACAUA
Molecule: long non-coding RNA, 359 nt
Organism: Hippoglossus stenolepis (Pacific halibut)
Lineage: Eukaryota; Metazoa; Chordata; Actinopteri; Pleuronectiformes; Pleuronectidae
Exons: 2
Source: RefSeq, a predicted model, not a curated record